This 1428-nucleotide ribosomal RNA is filed under the name Entamoeba dispar SAW760. RNAcentral's name for it is "bacterial SSU rRNA". It matches the Rfam family "Eukaryotic small subunit ribosomal RNA", at positions 1 to 1410 of the family's 1831-position model. Lineage: Eukaryota; Evosea; Mastigamoebida; Endamoebidae. The record is from RNAcentral.
UCUGGUUGAUCCUGCCAGUAUUAUAUGCUGAUGUUAAAGAUUAAGCCAUGCAUGUGUAAGUAUAAAGACCAAGUAGGAUGAAACUGCGGACGGCUCAUUAUAACAGUAAUAGUUUCUUUGGUUAGUAAAGUACAAGGAUAGCUUUGUGAAUGAUAAAGAUAAUACUUGAGACGAUCCAAUUUGUAUUAGUACAAAGUGGCCAAUUUAUGUAAGUAAAUUGAGAAAUGACAUUCUAAGUGAGUUAGGAUGCCACGACAAUUGUAGAACACACAGUGUUUAACAAGUAACCAAUGAGAAUUUCUGAUCUAUCAAUCAGUUGGUAGUAUCGAGGACUACCAAGAUUAUAACGGAUAACGAGGAAUUGGGGUUCGACAUCGGAGAGGGAGCUUUACAGAUGGCUACCACUUCUAAGGAAGGCAGCAGGCGCGUAAAUUACCCACUUUCGAAUUGAAGAGGUAGUGACGACACAUAACUCUAGAGUUGAGUAAAAUCAAUUCUUGAAGGAAUGAGUAGGAGGUAAAUUCUCCUACGAAAUCAAUUGGAGGGCAAGUCUGGUGCCAGCAGCCGCGGUAAUUCCAGCUCCCAUAGUGUAUAUUAAAGUUGCUGUGAUUAAAACGCUCGUAGUUGAAUUAAAAUGUGAUUUUAUACAUUUUGAAGACUUUACAUUAAGUGAAGUUUCUAGAAAUGUUAAAUUAAAAUCAAAGAAGGAGACAAUUCAAGUAAUUGAGUUGUCAUUACUUUGAAUAAAAUAAGGUGUUUAAAGCAAAACAUUAUGUUAAUGAAUAUUCAAGCAUGGGACAAUGCUGAGGAGAUGUCAAUUAGACAUUUCGAGAGAAGGAUUAAAAGGAACAAUUGGGGUGAUUCAGAAAAUAACGGGAGAGGUGAAAAUCCAUGAUCGCUAUAAGAUGCACGAGAGCGAAAGCAUUUCACUCAACUGGGUCCAUUAAUCAAGAACGAAAGUUAGGGGAUCGAAGACGAUCAGAUACCGUCGUAGUCCUAACUAUAAACGAUGUCAACCAAGGAUUGGAUGAAAUUCAGAUGUACAAAGAUGAAGAAACAUUGUUUCUAAAUCCAAGUAUAUCAAUACUACCUUGUUCAGAACUUAAAGAGAAAUCUUGAGUUUAUGGACUUCAGGGGGAGUAUGGUCACAAGGCUGAAACUUAAAGGAAUUGACGGAAGGGCACACCAGGAGUGGAGCCUGCGGCUUAAUUUGACUCAACACGGGAAAACUUACCAAGACCGAACAGUAGAAGGAAUGACAGAUUAAGAGUUCUUUCAUGAUUUAUUGGGUAGUGGUGCAUGGCCGUUCUUAGUUGGUGGAGUGAUUUGUCAGGUUAAUUCCGGUAACGAACGAGACUGAAACCUAUUAAUUAGUUUUCUGCCUAUAAGACAGAAAUGUUCGCAAGAACAGGUGCGUAAGUACCACAU